This 404-nucleotide unclassified non-coding RNA is filed under the name soil metagenome. Its description in RNAcentral is "partial contains 5.8S ribosomal RNA, internal transcribed spacer 2, and large subunit ribosomal RNA". The stretch from base 1 to 122 matches the Rfam family "5.8S ribosomal RNA", at positions 35 to 154 of the family's 154-position model. The record is from RNAcentral.
GAUGAAGAACGCAGCAAAAUGCGAUACUUGGUGUGAAUUGCAGAAUCCCGUGAACCAUCGAGUUUUUGAACGCAAGUUGCGCCCGAAGCCUUUUGGCCGAGGGCACGUCUGCCUGGGCGUCACGCAUCGCGUCGCCCCCCACAAUUCUCCGUAAAGGGCACAUGUGUUUUGGGGGCGGAUAUUGGUCUCCCGUGCUCAUGGCGUGGUUGGCCGAAAUAGGAGUCCUUUCGAUGGACGCACGAACUAGUGGUGGUCGUAAAAACCCUCGUCUUCUGUUUCGUGCUGUUGCUCGCAAGGUAAACUCUUUAAAAACCCCAAUGUGUCGUCUCUUGACGACGCUUCGACCGCGACCCCAGGUCAGGCGGGACUACCCGCUGAGUUUAAGCAUAUCAAUAAGCGGAGGA